GACGAACGCUGGCGGCGUGCUUAACACAUGCAAGUCGAACGGAAAGGCCCUGCUUUUGUGGGGUGCUCGAGUGGCGAACGGGUGAGUAACAUGUGAGUAACCUGCCCUUGACUUUGGGAUAACUUCAGGAAACUGGGGCUAAUACCGGAUAGGAGCUCCUGCUGCGUGGUGGGGGGUGUAAAGUUUCGGUGGUUGGGGAUGGACUCGCGGCUUAUCAGCUUGUUGGUGGGGUAGUGGCUUACCAAGGCUUGGACGGGUAGCCGGCCUGAGAGGGUGACCGGCCACACUGGGACUGAGAUACGGCCCAGACUCCUACGGGAGGCAGCAGUGGGGAAUAUUGCACAAUGGGCGGAAGCCUGAUGCAGCAACGCCGCGUGCGGGAUGACGGCCUUCGGGUUGUAAACCGCUUUCGCCUGUGACGAAGCGUGAGUGACGGUAAUGGGUAAAGAAGCACCGGCUAACUACGUG
This 468-nucleotide ribosomal RNA is filed under the name uncultured bacterium. RNAcentral's name for it is "partial 16S ribosomal RNA". It matches the Rfam family "Bacterial small subunit ribosomal RNA", at positions 28 to 507 of the family's 1533-position model. The record is from RNAcentral.